RNAcentral lists this ribosomal RNA (471 nucleotides) under uncultured bacterium. RNAcentral's name for it is "partial 16S ribosomal RNA". It matches the Rfam family "Bacterial small subunit ribosomal RNA", at positions 28 to 507 of the family's 1533-position model. The record is from RNAcentral.
GACGAACGCUGGCGGCGUGCUUAACACAUGCAAGUCGAACGCUGAAGCUUGGUGCUUGCACUGGGUGGAUGAGUGCGAACGGGUUAGUAAUACGUGAGUAACCUGCCCUUGACUCUGGGAUAAGCCUGGGAAACUGGGUCUAAUACUGGAUAUUACAUGCCACUGCCUGGUGGUUUGUGGAAAGGGUUUUACUGGUUUUGGAUGGGCUCACGGCCUAUCAGCUUGUUGGUGGGGUAAUGGCCUACCAAGGCGACGACGGGUAGCCGGCCUGAGAGGGUGACCGGCCACACUGGGACUGAGACACGGCCCAGACUCCUACGGGAGGCAGCAGUGGGGAAUAUUGCACAAUGGGCGGAAGCCUGAUGCAGCGACGCCGCGUGAGGGAUGACGGCCUUCGGGUUGUAAACCUCUUUCAGCACGGAAGAAGCGAGAGUGACGGUACGUGCAGAAGAAGCGCCGGCUAACUACGUG